This 2895-nucleotide long non-coding RNA is filed under the name Homo sapiens (human). Its description in RNAcentral is "HSALNT0345799". Lineage: Eukaryota; Metazoa; Chordata; Mammalia; Primates; Hominidae. The record is from RNAcentral.
UCAAAAAGAAAAAUCUUCAGUCCCUUCCUUUUUCUGGGUGCUCAGAGAGAUACCAAAGGGGCUCAUGUAACAGCAGAGGUGCUCAAAGAUCAAGAUCCCCUGAAUGACAGAAAAGAACAGAUUUGAGAUAUAUCCCUUCCUCCUAGUCCUACAUCCAGACUGGGUAGGCCUGAUCUCUGCUAGGUGGAAACUGACUUUUUGCUUGUAGAAACCAUAGGCAACAGACAGAAAGUAAUAAUCUCCCUUUGAACCAGGUGGAAAGUAGGUAUGGGGGUAGGGGGUAUAGGGUAAAGAGAAGAAUUUCACUCUCAUUGUCCCUGAAGACACAGUGGGCUGCCAGAGCACAAGCUCUGGAAUCUGCAUGUCUGGGUUCAAGUCAUCAGACUUUUCCUGUGUGGCCUUGGGUAAACUGCUUAACUAAGAAUGGUGAUAAUGGCAUGACUUGGAGAUAAUUCUCUUAAGGCACUCAGUUCGGCACCUUGCCUAUAGUGCUCAGGAUAGUUAGCAAGCCUCAAAGAGUGUGGGCAGCAUAUGCCUUUGCAGACAAUGAAGUCUAGAGAAGGGCCCCUCCCCAGCCUGCGAUCACCCAGGCACUCAGCCCACAUUGUCACCCUCCCACUGUGUAUCUCUAAAAAGAUGGAGCUCCCUGUCCAGCUGGUGUCUGAGAUCCCAGGAUUUUUUGUUUGUUUGUUUUGUUCAGUGACUGUGCAUUAAAUGUCAGCUUGGUUUCCUCUCUCUCUGUACUCAAGGGAACUUCACAAUGUUGGACACUGAGCUUCCAUGCACCUGGUCUAAAACGAGGAAGAGCAUAAGUAACAUAUGUGCUAAGUGGCCAGGAAUGAGGAAAGGGCUGCAUCCAUCCUGUCUGCCUCCCGUCCAAUGCAGAGGAAAGCCUGCACCCCUCCUUGGUCUGUCUCAAUCUGCAUUUUGCCAGUAAGACUUGCUGGGCCUCCACUCGGGUUAAGGUCGAUGAAUAAAACCAGAGAACUUAAAAAGAGGAAACAUCAACACUGAAGAGGUCAUGGGGAAGAGGAAGGAAAGUACGGUAAAUAUUCAGCAAUCGUUUUCAUUUCCCUGUCUCAUGGAAAAAGCUCUGGGCACAUUCCCUAAGGAUGGGAUGGAAACCACUGGUCUUUGAUGAAAGAUGGGCAAGUGGAGACACUUAGCUACAGGCUCAGCCUAUUUCUCUAGGAAUUAGACAUCUGGGUGAAAAUCCCUGCCAAAAAAUCCAUGAAGUUUCCAGAUGUUUCCAACUACCCAUACAUUGGGUGGUAUAUAGACCCCGCUGCUUUCUCUAGUGAGAAGUAAAAUAAUUUUCAACAAUGUUUCUGAGUACUGGGUUUUCCAUUCUGGUUUUGACAGUUUCUCUGUAGAGUCACUUGACUUCCAGAAGACACCAUCAUCUCCAGUGUUGGGAUGGCUCAGGAACCUAACGUACCUCCCAGAGCUCUGCUCAGCCACAAGAGGAGACUGACCUCUCACACGUGUCCCAAAAGAAUUAAGAACCCACACUCUAUCAUCAAACCACCAGGCAGAUGCCAUCCCCAGGACAAUGCAGCCCAUCCAAGGUUCCCCAUCAAGCACUGCUGACCUUACAGCCUUUGAUCCAUGAGGGUUAAUGAAACCUCUUCCCUUUUUAGUUUUACCCAACCCUGCUUGUUGUAAAUAUUUUCUUGUCAAGAACAUGAGAGGAGCAGCCUAAAAAUAAUGUGGGUUGCCAGUGAGCCCCAGUCCUCAGCAGUUUCCAAUGUGCUCUUUUGCUGUCUGCUGCCCUCCAUCCACAAUGAGAUGAUUUUUCAUAUACUCAUCACAUUUGUGUUAUGUCAUGCCAUAUUAUAUUUUAGAACAUUGCUCAAAAAUGGGUUUGAUGGAUAACUUUUGUUCUUAGAAACUAUGACUUUUCUAUUCUCCACAACCCCCUAAUCAGGCACCUGCUAUCAAUUUGACUUGCAUGUAACCAGAAUUCUCAGAACUUGUUGGUUGCUCCUGCUGGCUCCUGUCCAUGUAUGCCAAGAGGACAUGAUGGCAAGCGGAUUAGAACCAGAGAUGAUGAUCCUUCCAUCCCCCUCUGGGCAUCCUCCUCAGCUUCAAGAGCUACAGAUGCAAGAGCAUGAUGGGCAUCCUCCUCAGCUUCAAGAGCUACAGAUGCAAAAGCAUGAAUGAAGUCCUGCCUGUGUUGCCUGACUUUGUCACUGAGACCAGAAGGAGACCCCAUGCGGAAUCAACUAGCAAACACAAACAGCUGCCUGGUGCUGCAGGGCAAACAGACUUGAUGAUGAAAUUCUCAAAAUUCAUCAUUGCCUAAUUUUUUUUUUUUUUAGAAAUAUGCACCAUUUUGUUAGCCAAAGUGCAGAUUUUCGUAGAGAAAACAGGAAAAUUAUUGAUAUGGGUACACUCACAACGUGCUAAAUACAAACUAAACAGAUAACCCAUAAGGCAGAAAAUAUAACCCCUCCCCGACUCCAUUUCUGCCUUUGUCCCUUUCCAUCUGCAUGGCUGUCCCCCACCCUGGCAAGUGCUCUGCCUCUCCCAAGAGCAUUUUUGGGGGUCCAGCCAGGUAGCACCACCUUCCUUAUCCCUUAGUCCUUCCUGCUGCUCAGAGAGGAAUUUUCUGGAGCUGGGCUCUAAUCAGUGCACAGAGGUGGGAUGGAGAUGAGUUUUUUUAAAAUAUAAUUUAUCACGCAUUUGCACCCAUUGUUCUCCCAACCAGAUUGCAAACCACUAGGAUACAGGGUCAUGUCUAGUUUCUCUUGCCUGCCCUCCCCUCCCCAGCUCCCAAAUUAGACAUGGCAGAGUAUCUUUACUACACUGGGCUGGCAAUUCAUGUUUUACACUGAAUAAGUAGAUAAGGCAGAAUUGUCUAUUUUUAUGUUGUUUUUUGGCAGGUCCCUGCCA